This 382-nucleotide ribosomal RNA is filed under the name uncultured eukaryote. RNAcentral's name for it is "SSU rRNA". It matches the Rfam family "Eukaryotic small subunit ribosomal RNA", at positions 587 to 972 of the family's 1831-position model. The record is from RNAcentral.
AGCUCCAAUAGCGUAUAUUAAAGUUGUUGCAGUUAAAAAGCUCGUAGUUGGAUUUGUGGUUGGAGUGGCCAGUCCAACACAGUGUGUGGGUACUAGGCUACUCUGUCCAUCCUUGGGUGGAAUCUGUGUGGCAUUAAGUUGUCGUGCAGGGGAUGCCCAUCAUUUACUGUGAAAAAAUUAGAGUGUUCAAAGCAGGCUUAUGCCGUUGAAUAUAUUAGCAUGGAAUAAUGAGAUAGGACCUCGGUACUAUUUUGUUGGUUUGCGCACCGAGAUAAUGAUUAAUAGGGACAGUUGGGGGUAUUCGUAUUCCAUUGUCAGAGGUGAAAUUCUUGGAUUUCUGGAAGACGAACUACUGCGAAAGCAUUUACCAAGGAUGUUUUCA